Ooceraea biroi (clonal raider ant) is the source of this 359-nucleotide long non-coding RNA. RefSeq lists it as uncharacterized. Lineage: Eukaryota; Metazoa; Arthropoda; Insecta; Hymenoptera; Formicidae. The record is from RefSeq and is a predicted model, not a curated record.
CUGUGUCUUACGAGCACGUUGAGUUUUGUGCGUGCUAUGCUCCCGGUACUCCUCGGAUGCCUGAAAUAUCGUUAAAGUUGAAAAAUAAAGUACACUAAUCAACAUGGAUAUUGCAUACGACUGACCGGAGAUCCGCAACGAACCACGGACGUGUUCCCAUCUCAUACAUGAUGUUCGCAAUGGCAACGUGCCAUGAUCCUCAAUUCUGUCGGAUUUACAACACGAUUUAUGGCCGACUAGUCAUUAACGUCUUCAAUCUAAUCCCGAAAAUGUUCUAAUAUAUGAUUAUUGAUUAUCAUAACAAUUUCUUGCCGCAAAACUUGUCAUAAUGCUAUUUAAAUUAUAUAAUUGCCAAUAAA